Molecule: non-coding RNA, 675 nt
Organism: Pelobates cultripes (western spadefoot toad)
Lineage: Eukaryota; Metazoa; Chordata; Amphibia; Anura; Pelobatidae
Source: the annotation of a GenBank genome assembly
CCCAAAUCUCCCCUAACCCUUUCGCCGCUGCCGUGAUCACUGUACUGUACAGUAUCGCUACUGUACAGUAUUGUACCAGAGAUCACUGUGAUCAGAGGGCUCUCUGAUCAGGCUGACAUUUUUGGGGGGUUAUUUUUAUUAAAAAAACAAAAAAAAUUCUAUAUCCCUAUUGGGUCAAAGAUGAUAAUGUGAGAGUGAUAUCUUUGCCCUUUAAACACCUGUAUUUUGUAAGUGGAUUAGAAGCAGACAAGAGGUUCAAGAACCGUUAUAAAUGGUGUUGGUUAAGAUUAAAACACUAUGCCUUUAAUGUAAACCUCACUGUGCUUUACUAAGGUUUAUUGACCAGUACUAUAUAUAUAUAUAUAUAUAUAUAUAUAUGUUAAAAUCUGUAACAUAAAGGUCCCCCUUUGGCAUUAAAGGGAUAAAUAACAACUGGAAUUUCAUGUCCGAAUGUGCAUGUAUAUAUAUACUUUGAUUUGAUCAGCGUCUGUAUAUCAAUUUUGUCUAGAUCUUAAUUUUAACGACAAAAAUAAAAAAAGUUAUUUUAGGAAAAAAAAAAAAAAAAAAAAAAAAAAUUAACCCUUUCUGUACUGGUCGCAGCAGCCUAAACUGCGAUCAGUACAUUUAUUUUAUUAUUUGUGGGUUUUUGAGGGUGGGUAGUAGGGUGUUAGGCAG